UGUAAGAUUUUUCUAAAAAUCACCAAUUUUUUAAAGUAAAUACCAG
Molecule: non-coding RNA, 46 nt
Organism: Smittium mucronatum
Lineage: Eukaryota; Fungi; Kickxellomycota; Harpellomycetes; Harpellales; Legeriomycetaceae
Source: Rfam